UUUAUUAUGAACUUAUACACUAUUUUCAAAAUGUAAAAUAAUACUCCUUUUCAGAAUAUUAUACAUAAACCAAUCAAAUAAAAUCCUACCAAAUCUGGUAAGAUUUUCUUGUGAUGGCAGAGAUUUUAUGUGAGAUCAAGGAACGACAACUCUGCGUGGAGAUUCGAAACAUACAUGUAUUUCAAAGUACCGUCCAUGCCUAUGCAGUCUACUCCCUGCACACGUGUCGAGGUUCUUAUGACGUCCCUGGCAACAAGAGCACAUAAACCUCACGAGUUUGAUCCCGUUUUGCCCUUACUUAGUUGCAUGCCUGCGAGAUGUGUUGCGCCAGAUCCUGUCAAACAUCUCCGUGAGUGCCUUUGAUCAACACAGAGGCUCUGACAGCGCACACAAUCCUCUCCGUACUGGUCUCAAUGGAAUCUCUGACACAUAUACAUUUGCUGAUACGAGCAUUUGCCCUCGUGUCGUGCACGUCAAUCACCGAAUUAACGCCUUUCCGCUGCGCUCAGAUUGAUUCUAUUUGCUUCACAAUGACCACCUAAGCGCGCCUUAUUAAAUUCCUUGACUUCUUAUUCCGGCCCGCUAAUCAUUGGGAACAGGCUGAUGACAGGCGUGGAAAAUCGACUACUUUCGUGACCACAUAAUCGUGAAAUUUAUUCAUAAAAUGUUUCGGAUUAAUUUUUCAUCAACUUAGAUGUUAUAGGUAAUUAUAAUUUAGAUGCAACACACUAUAGAGAAAACGGAUGUAUGAACCUGAUGUUAAGUAUAUGCCUUCAAAUCUACUUUAAUACCUUUGGAUGUUCUGCCAAACGAAGAUUUGUUUUUUGCCAUCGUC
Dreissena polymorpha is the source of this 835-nucleotide long non-coding RNA. RefSeq lists it as uncharacterized. The record is from RefSeq and is a predicted model, not a curated record. NCBI's taxonomy places the organism in Eukaryota, Metazoa, Mollusca, Bivalvia, Myida, Dreissenidae. The transcript has 3 exons.